UGAGCUACUGCGCACCAUAUUGACAUACUUCGACCUAAGCAUCAUGGAAAGAUGAAGAGUAGAAUCGGUAAAAUUAUGAAUAAACAAAUAUGGGAUUUGAGCAUGUUCAAUUUUUAUUCAGGCCCCUAAACCUUAGUUUAAACAAGAAACAAAUUAAAACAAAAACAAAAAAAAGGAAGAUAAUGAAACAGGAAACAAAUUAAAACAAAAACAAAAAAAUAAAGAUAAUGAAAAACUUACAGUUGGUUCUAUAAAAUGAAGUCCAACCAAAGAUAUUCUACAAUUCUUUAAGAACAAUUCAAUUUAUAGUUGUUCUGUCUCUCUAAACCACCCAAGAAGCUUUCAAAUUUUUUGUCAGAUUUCUCUCCAAACUAAGCUCUAGAUUUGCAUGAGUUCAAAAAAGUCUUAAUUUUAGGAUGCACCAAUGGUGUGCACUAAUCUAGAAGCUAAUGUUGUAUUUUAUUUAAGUUUCCGUAGAGUCCAAUGAGAAUUGGACUUCCUUAUAUACUAUGAUAGUGGUUGCAAAAAAAAGCCCUCUUCCUGGACCCUGUGAAGUUUUGCGAGGCCCAAGACCUUGAUCUGAGG
Molecule: long non-coding RNA, 585 nt
Filed under: Aquilegia coerulea
Lineage: Eukaryota; Viridiplantae; Streptophyta; Magnoliopsida; Ranunculales; Ranunculaceae
Description: long non-coding RNA (ACOE_LNC001939)
Source: RNAcentral